RNAcentral lists this long non-coding RNA (716 nucleotides) under Bos indicus x Bos taurus (hybrid cattle). RNAcentral describes it as "lncRNA (ENSBIXG00005029183.1)". Lineage: Eukaryota; Metazoa; Chordata; Mammalia; Artiodactyla; Bovidae. The record is from RNAcentral.
AUGCAAUCAUUUUCUAAACAUUUUACAUCUGUCAGUAUAAACAACUGCCUUGAGCCUCACAUAUCUUUCGCUACCAUGAAGGACCCAUGUCAGCUGAAGUGUACAGCAGCAUGCUUUCUCCAAACUUAUCAAGUUUACUGCACCCUCUCUCCUCUGGCCUGCUACUCAUCCUUUCUUGGUUGUGAUGUGCCUGGAAAACAGGAGAUUUGGUCGGGUAUUAAGGCUGAAAGAUUGAUGAAGUCCAGAAAGUUGCAACAUGAGACAAGAAGAGGGACAAGGUGAUUUCGGCAAAAACCAUCUUGAGUUUCCUAGGAAAAUGAUGAAGACUGGAAGAAAGCCUAAUUUGCCUCAGAAAUGCAAAGGCAUCUCAGGACUGGGCUGUCGACUUUUCUGGAAUGAGAUUCUGAAGCACUGUAGCUCUCACUUCACCCAUCCCCCCACCAUAAACACGUGCAUGACUCACUGUGGAAAUGUAAAGUUCCAUGCCUAAUGACGUCAGUAUCUCAAUUUAGAAUUUUACACCUGAUGAAAGACUCAGUUUUCUCUCCCUUUCAGUUUGUUCUGUGAAUUGGUGGGGUUUUUUUGGGUACAUAUUUCUAUCUUCUGCACAGGGUUAUGGACAACUUUCAAUUGUACCCCUGGCAAGACUCAUCACAGUAGCUUGCUCAUUGUGAGAGCUUAAUAAAUACUCUUAAUUUAAGAAAUGAAAUUUUCUG